GGAGAUGUCGCAUAGCGGUUGAGUGCGCCGGUUUCGAAAACCGGAGGAGUCGUAAGGCUCUCGGAGGUUCGAAUCCUCCCAUCUCCG
This 87-nucleotide transfer RNA is filed under the name Candidatus Omnitrophota bacterium. RNAcentral's name for it is "Candidatus Omnitrophica bacterium (aquatic metagenome) tRNA-Ser". It matches the Rfam family "tRNA". From Rfam's summary of the family: Transfer RNA (tRNA) molecules are approximately 80 nucleotides in length. Their secondary structure includes four short double-helical elements and three loops (D, anti-codon, and T loops). The record is from RNAcentral. Lineage: Bacteria; Pseudomonadati; Candidatus Omnitrophota.